Molecule: long non-coding RNA, 909 nt
Organism: Anguilla rostrata (American eel)
Lineage: Eukaryota; Metazoa; Chordata; Actinopteri; Anguilliformes; Anguillidae
Exons: 2
Source: RefSeq, a predicted model, not a curated record
CACUUUCGACAGAAGUAAUGCUCGCACCCGAAACUUACUGGGUCUUGGUAAAUACUCAGGCAAAUUGAACACAGGAGCUCGUCCUUCAGACAACAAGCCAUUUGCGGGAAUAAAGACCAAAUAGAACCAAAUUAUAACCACUGCAACGUCCACGGAAUCCAAUCGGCUGCUUCACUCCGAAACCUGCCUCAAUCCAGGAAGAAAAAGAGCAGGGCGAUGGAGCAAACCAACUAAACACCUGCAGCCUCUGCGGGGAGGGGAACGAAAAAUGUCUCAACUAGUAUCGAAGUCGAAACUUUCUUUUGUCACAAAGACAACGAAUCUAUUUAAUGUAUUUGUAUAAAUGUCUUGUGCGUUUUAAACUAGACAAACUAAUAUAUGGGUGAGGAAAUUUCCGCUUUUGAAUAAAUCGACGAACUGAAGGUACCCUAAUGAAUGAUGGAACAGUCUGGACCUCCACAUUUCCCCAUUGUUUGUUCGGCUUUACGCUGUAUGCCUUAGAUGCAGGUCACUGUUGAUGUCGACGUUGAAUUGCCGAGGAAAGUCAUGCAUUUGUAUUUGUAAUUAUUCGCAUAUGUGCAUUUUAAUCCACAUUAAUUUUCAGGUUACUAGGCUAUACGAAGCAGCUAGAUGAACACCAGUGCCGAUUAAAAAAUACCAUUGAAGCUCUGUAAAAAUGCCACAAUAAGAUAAAACCGAAAUGUCAUCAUGUCACAAAUCGAUUAUAUAUGUUCGAUAAAAAACAAAACACGCACACACAUACACAAGUCCCGGAUUGCUUGUGCGGUUAUUUUAUCUGUUGCUGAAAUCACGUUUCUAACCUUUCCUGCGGGGAGGGGGACGGUUCCCAGCGCCUGCCCAUUUUGCGAUGUACCCCAUUCAUUUCAUAAUAAAAUAACAUCUGUCUUA